Molecule: ribosomal RNA, 1161 nt
Filed under: Ditylenchus environmental sample
Lineage: Eukaryota; Metazoa; Nematoda; Chromadorea; Rhabditida; Anguinidae
Description: SSU rRNA
Rfam family: Eukaryotic small subunit ribosomal RNA
Source: RNAcentral
AUUUACUUGAUCUUGACUAUCCUACUUGGAUAACUGUGGUAAUUCUAGAGCUAAUACAUGCACCAAAGCCCUGACCUUACGGAAAGGGUGCAUUUAUUAGAACAAAACCAAGCGACUUCGGUCGUUUUUUGUUGACUCAGAAUAACUAAGCUGAUCGCAUGGUCUUGCACCGGCGACGUGUCUUUCAAGUAUCUGCCUUAUCAACUUUCGAUGGUAGUGUAUCUGACUACCAUGGUGGUGACGGGUAACGGAGGAUAAGGGUUUGACUCCGGAGAAGGGGCCUGAGAAAUGGCCACUACGUCUAAGGAUGGCAGCAGGCGCGCAAAUUACCCACUCUCAGAACGAGGAGGUAGUGACGAAAAAUAACGAGACCGUUCUCUACGAGGCCGGUCAUCGGAAUGGGUACAAUCUAAACCCUUUAACGAGUAUCUAUGAGAGGGCAAGUCUGGUGCCAGCAGCCGCGGUAAUUCCAGCUCUCAAAAUGCAUAGAAUUAUUGCUGCGGUUAAAAAGCUCGUAGUUGGAUCUGUGCUGAGGACCUGGUCCACCUUCGGGUGCGUACUAGGCUCCACGGCUUUUCUGCCGGUUUUCCCGUCAUGGCUUUCAUCGGCUGUGGCGGGUGGCUGGUGAUUUUACUUUGAACAAAUCAGAGUGCUUCAAACAGGCGUUUAGCUUGAAUGUUUUUGCAUGGAAUAAUAGAAGAGGAUUUCGGUUCUAUUUUAUUGGUUUUAUAGACUGAAAUAAUGGUUAACAGAGACCAACGGGGGCAUUCGUACCGCUGCGUGAGAGGUGAAAUUCUUGGACCGCAGCGAGACGAACUACAGCGAAAGCAUUUGCCAAGAAGGUCUUCAUUAAUCAAGAACGAAAGUCAGAGGUUCGAAGGCGAUCAGAUACCGCCCUAGUUCUGACCGUAAACGAUGCCAACUAGCGAUCUGCCGGCGGAAUUUUCGCCCUGGUAGGGAGCUUCCCGGAAACGAAAGUCUUCCGGUUCCGGGGGAAGUAUGGUUGCAAAGCUGAAACUUAAAGGAAUUGACGGAAGGGCACCACCAGGAGUGGAGCCUGCGGCUUAAUUUGACUCAACACGGGGAAACUCACCCGGCCCGGACACCAUAAGGAUUGACAGAUUGAUAGCUUUUUCAUGAUUUGGUGGAUGGUGGUGCAUG